GCACAGGCAUAAACACAGGAAAGGAAAAAAACUCUAUGCUAGAGUGAAACUACAGAGAAACAACAGCGUUAUCUUUGGGACUAAACUAUUAGCAUUACCAAUGAUGUAGUGUUUCCUCUGACUGAACACAAAUGUUUGGAUAAAAAGGAAGAAGCUGGAAUACACAGUGAUGUGUUAAAGAGUAGUAGACAAAGAAAGUUACACUGCUGUGACAAAUAGGGAGGAAGUUAGAGUUUCAUUUGGAAAGUCUUCUCACCACUUGGUCAAGUUACACUAAGAGUAUACAUUAGAGAGAGUCCAUUGGAGAGUCCUGAUAAAGUAGCAGUAGCAGCAGGUGUGUCUGUCAGUGUGGUUGUGAUGCUUGUUGCGGGAGUCCUGCUGGUGAUCUUCUUACUGACUAGAUGUCACCGGCGGGAAACGUCAACGCAGAGAGACACAGAGGAAAGAAGCGUGACCCAGCAGUUGAACAUGUAUGAACACUGAGUGUGUGGAGCAUCUUCUCCCUCUGAUACAACAAUCUCUCCUCAAAUGACGGACGACAAAAUGGAGGGAUGGUGACUUGCAACAAGACAAACUUAAACUUAAAAUAAUGCCUGUGUUCAAAGUAGCAAUGUGGAGCAGCAUUGAGCAAUGAAUUGUAAUGUCAUGUCUGAACCAUAUUCUGUGACCAUUAUGCAACGAGGCAGGAAGUGAAAGAAGUGGAGAACAGCAUGAUGGGAGAAAUGACUGGUCAAUGGACUGAACAUGAGCCGAACGCAGUAAAUGAAGUCCAGAGAAAUCCCAAGAAAUAAAGUAGACCUAAAGCAGCCUGUAUAUUAUAGAGUUGACUAACUACAGGUGCAUUCACAUUUCUAAGAAGAGAAGCAGAUGAUACAGGACUACUAUAGUUAACAGCCAUCAUGGAAACUCUUGUUACAUACAUCUACCGCAUGUUCCUGGUGUUACCCAUUUGAAUCAUGUUCAUAAUUCAGGUUGAUAAUUCGCUUUCAUGUACAGCAGUCAUUUCACCAUUUAAAUAUGAAUUUAAUUAUCUGAAUAAUGUGAAGAAUUUGACAUGAUCAAUGUUUUCAUUGCUGCUUAUUAUUAUUAUGUAGCUUGCUGUGAAACAAGCGUGUCAUGGAAUGACUAAAUCAAAAGAUUAGUAACACUUUGGUCCAGGGUCCGUUUUGUUGUAUUAUUAACCAUAUUGGUUAAGCUUACAACACAGGAAGAGAUGAUUGGAAAUCAGGGAAAUAAAAUGACUUUUUAUAGGUCUUGUCCCGAGGGACUAAUACAAGUUUCACAUCUGUGUUCAUGUUUAUUUUGUGAGAGAAAAAAACUACAGACAUUAUACAAAUACAUUAUCCACCCACCUCUCCCCUUUCCACCCACAUGACCUGCUUAUUUGAGUACAAAUAUCAAAGUAGUGAUUUUAAACCGUUAAUUGUUGGAGUCCAUAUGUUGAUACUUGGUUGCCUGGGUGUUAGGUACAGUGAAGUUAGUCAUCAUUAAGCAGUAAGAGAUUGGCAAGACAAGGGAUUGGUUUAGAUAAAAUGCUUGAUAAUGAUGAAGACAGAUUGCCAAAAGGAGAACAAUCUGUUUUAAUACUUUUAUACCACUUAUAUUUUAUGCUGUAAGUGACAAUACUGGCUGUUUUUCUGUGUGUGAAAGUAUUGUUCAGUUGUUUUUAUGUGUUUGUACUGUUGGAAAGUAGCUGAAAUUCUCUGUCCUCUUCACUCUUGGUGUUUCUUUUUCAAAUAAACUAUGUACUGUAAAUAUGAAAUGAGAUAAACCCUAUAUUAAAUGCCAUAAUAAACCAUAUAUUAAAUGCCAUAAUAAACCCUAUAUUAAAUGCCAUAAUAAACCCUAUAUUAAAUGCCAUAAUAAACCCUAUAUUAAAUGCCAUAAUAAACCCUGUAUUAAAUCCCAUAAUAAACCCUAUAUUAAAUGCCAUAAUAAACCCUGUAUUAAAUCCCAUAAUAAACCCUAUAUUAAAUGCCAUAAUAAACCCUAUAUUAAAUGCCAUAAUAAACCCUAUAUUAAAUGCCAUAAUAAACCCUAUAUUAAAGCACAGCAUUGAUUGUCACUGCUACGCAGAUGAUACACAGCCUCACAUUUCUGUGUCACCAGAGGAUUCUAGCUCCACGGAUACAUUAUUAGACUGUUUUAGUGAGUUAAAUAACUUCCUCCAGCUAAAUCAAGACAAAAACCUAGGUACUUAUUGUUGGAGCCAAAGUACAGCGUGAGAAUCUAGCAGCAUAUUUUAAUUCACAGGCAAUAAAGAUAAAACACCAGGUAAAUAAACCUAAGUGUUAUUUUUACAUUCUGAAGUAAAUUUCGAAUCACACAUUAGGAAUGCGACCAAAAUUGCUUUUUACCAGGAACAUUUUGAGGUGUGGAUGUUUCUCUCUCAGGCUGAUACAGAGAGACUCAUCCAUGCUUUUAUUACAUUCAGGUUUGACUACUGUAUUGCUCUCCUGUCUGGUCUACCCAAGAAAGCCAUUGGUCAACUGCAGAACAUACAGAAUGCUGCAGCACGGGUACUGACCAAGAUCAGACGGAGAGCACACAUUUCAUAGGUUUUAAGGUCUCUGUACUGGCUGCCUGUGAGUUCUGUAAUGCACAUUGCAUUGCAGUCCAUGUCUGAAAUGUUCUGUAUAAAAAAGCUUGAUUUGAUUAAAUGUCAAAAUAAACACAAUAUUAAAUGCUA
Long non-coding RNA from Oncorhynchus tshawytscha (Chinook salmon), 2689 nucleotides. NCBI's taxonomy places the organism in Eukaryota, Metazoa, Chordata, Actinopteri, Salmoniformes, Salmonidae. The record is from Ensembl.